Molecule: non-coding RNA, 2173 nt
Organism: Podarcis muralis (Common wall lizard)
Lineage: Eukaryota; Metazoa; Chordata; Lepidosauria; Squamata; Lacertidae
Source: RefSeq, a predicted model, not a curated record
AACGGCUGAAGCAAGUGAUUGCUCUUCCAAACAUGUACGGCUCCAGUUUACUGAACGCCACCGUCAUAAUGAACAAGGGACACAUGUUCAUCGCCACUGACCUGGUCCACGAGCCCCAGGCUGCUGUAUAGCCAUGAGGGGCACCCAGAAGGAAGAAGAAAGUCAGCUGCCCCCUGUUCCUGCCUCAGGGUUUUUCCCAAGAUGCUCACCUUGCACGCUCAGGAGUCAUUUGAGGCAGUGAUCAAGGACAAUGUGGGGACAUUGGGCCUUUCCUGGGGAAGUCAGGUUUGGGCAGAGAUUGGACAGUGCAGAGCCAGCCGAAAACAUUUUGCUGCCUGAAGCCAGAGGACAAGAUGACCUCCCCCUCCAGUUCCACGUCUAAAAGCCAGCAGGACUGAAAGUUGCAUCUUCCUUCAGAUACUGGGAUGCUACCUUCUGCCCCACCUGAGCAGAGCAGAAUAGCUUAAGGAAAUGCAGAACAGAGCCCGUUUCAUGCACAGCCCUGUCCUCCACCUCUUGGUGCAAAAGAAAAAUAUUGUUAUAGAAGCUGGGUACCAACCCCACCCUCUGCUGAGCGAUAGCAAGAUCCCAGGGCGUUCCAGGCACUCGCCCGGGGUCUGUGCUCCUUUGGAGAAUUGAAGACACGACGGAGACUGCCAUAGCUUUAAGAAAUAUGGUUUAUUCACAUAUGGACACAUUCAGUCUGCCUGGAGGGAGUCCAGAUCUUACAGCAGCAUGGACAUUUCAAGAGGGGUUUGUCCCCAACGGCAUUGCAACACUUGAGUCAAAAGCAUCUUUCCCAGACAGCCUUCAGCCAGCCUGCCCAAGAUGGAUCUCUUCUUUCUCUCUCUCUUCUUCCCAGCACACCUUGCUCUAAAGACUCUCUUUUCCUGACACUUCACAGCCAGUUAUCCUGGCAACCUUCUGUCUCUCCAGGCCCAAGAUCAACACCCUUUGUCCACCAUCAUCAUAAUUUAUUAUGGUCAAAGACCACCCUUUGUCCUGUUAAUGCCUCUGUCCCAGGUGAGGCCGUGGCUUGGAAAGGAAGCUUAGCUUGUAUUUUUCCACUGGCCUGUAAUCUUCCCUUCAAUACCCCAAAUAAUCAAAAUCCUAGACUUUCUUAAUUUCUUAAUAUAUAUAAUGGGAGAAUUCCUAGAUGCCAAGAUCCAAAUUUGGGGCAAGAACCCGAGCAGAGUUUAAAGCCACAAAAACAAGGCUGUUAGACCUUUCAAGUGAGUUCCAAAAAAUGUCCCUUUUAACAGUUAAAAAGUUUCCCUUUUCCCCUAGCAUAGGUAAAAGAGCACACAUUUCGUCAGUUAAACAUUGGUUUACUUACAAACUUUUCAAAGGUCGGGUUCAUGGGCUUUAGCAAAUUUGCACAGGCAGUGAAACUUAGCUUAGUUGGAAAGUGGUAAAAGUUCCUAGAUUAUUGGUAUUAUAGGAACUCAAGAGAGGCUUGUUAAAGCCAUGUGGUUGGAAGGAGCAGCUCAGAGCUCCUGACACUCCAAAGUUCACAUGCAGUCUGGGGGUGAACAGAGGCUUGAUUUCCUAGUUCCUCCCAAGGUGAGGGAGAGAGGACUUAGCUAAGCCUGGCUGGACAGCUUACUCUAUGGUAUUAACCCCUUCAUGUUGGAUGCCUGAGACUGGUUAUCCCACAAUUGUCAUCCUUCAGCAGCUGCUGCCUAAGGCAGUUGCCUCACACUGCCUAACAGUAGAACCGGCUUUGGCACAGCAUAACAGAUUGAUCUUACCAAGGCAGGAGAGGUUCCCCUUGGCUAGCUCAUCUCUUGCUAGGAAAUGGAAGCCACUCACCUCCACCUGCCCCCUUCCCUCUUAGCACCCAUCUCCAGUAAUCCCACAACACUUUUUGGAAACCACUGGGGAAAUUCUACUGGUGGCACCACGCCCUACAGAAUAUCACAGUGUGGGGUAGCCUGACAAAUUGGCAUUUUCCACCACUGCUCCUGUGCCGUGAAUGCCCUUAACCUUUGCCCUGUUAAUACCAAGUUCCUUUUUAAAGCUUGUUUUUAUAAGACUGCUUUUACUGGUUUCCAUGUUGUGUACCUGCUUUUAUGAUGCUGUUUUUGGUUUUUGCAUGUUGCUUUUGUAUCUGGCUUAGAUGUUUUUAAAUGCCAAGUGGUUUCGAAACGCUAAUAAAGAAAUAAAGAAGAUU